Molecule: transfer-messenger RNA, 388 nt
Filed under: Anaerolineae bacterium
Lineage: Bacteria; Bacillati; Chloroflexota; Anaerolineae
Rfam family: transfer-messenger RNA
About the family: Bacterial tmRNA, also known as 10Sa RNA or SsrA, is named for its dual tRNA and mRNA-like properties. Its role is to liberate the mRNA from a stalled ribosome.
Source: RNAcentral
GGGGAUGACAGGCUUCGACGGGGAACGAUCGGCAGUGUGCUGCAAGCCGAGCGGCGCUAACUCGUAAAUCUGGCGCACAAAAACGAGUGCCAACCGCACUUACCAACCCGCUAUGGCAAUGGCCGCUUAGGCGGUCUGACCCGUAGUCGCUUACCUGUAAGGUAAGCCGUCCGCCUCCACCGUCCCCUGAUCGGGGGAGGGUCGGGCGACACAAGAUCAGGGUGCGCGUCCGGGACGCCGAUAAACGGACGUUAAGAUGAUCGGCUGGCCCCCGCUGUACCGCGUCAACCGGGGACUUCGGGAGCGAGACACAAAAGGUUGGCUACGCUUGUAGAGGUGCAUUGACCAUCUUCUUCGGACCCGGGUUCGAUUCCCGGCAUCUCCACUG